This is a long non-coding RNA of Homo sapiens (human), 353 nucleotides long. RefSeq lists it as uncharacterized. The record is from RefSeq and is a predicted model, not a curated record. The transcript is spliced from 2 exons. Lineage: Eukaryota; Metazoa; Chordata; Mammalia; Primates; Hominidae.
CCCCUCUCAGAGUGGGGCAGCUGCUUACCUCUGCCCAUCCCGCCCUCUCGGAGCUCUCCGGAGCCCCAACCGCCUCCUUACCCACUGGACACGGUAACCUGGAUCUUGCAUGAGGCCACCACCAAUUUGCAGAGGAGAAUCCACUUGGCUGGGGGACAACACAGUGGAUUUGAAAUCUGAAGGGGCAUUGGUGGUACUGGAACGGCUGGAGCUGGGCGAUAUUGCAGGCUAGACCUUGCCGUUUCCUAGUUAUAUGACCUGUAACCUCUGAUCUCAGUUUCCUCAUUGGAAAGAUGGGACAAUAUCUUUCCCUCAGGGUUUUCAUCAGUUCUUAAUAAAUAAUGCAUGUGCAA